This 219-nucleotide unclassified non-coding RNA is filed under the name soil metagenome. RNAcentral's name for it is "partial internal transcribed spacer 1". The record is from RNAcentral.
CAAUAAGAGUGUUUAUGGCACUCUUUCAAAAAAUCCAUACCCACCUUGUGUGCAAUGUAAAAAAAAAAAGGAGUUUUCUUGUGGUUUGGGAGUGAGAGUUGUUUUACAACGCUCAUUUUUUUUUUUUUCCUCAAGAGACACUUUUUUUUCAUUUCAUAUACACCUUUCUAUAAGUUUCCUAUUGUCUGAAGUACUUGGAAUAAAUAUAAUUCUAAAAUA